UAGUUUCAUUUGUCAACUUGACACACCUGGGAAGAAGGAAACUCAGUUGAGGCAUUGCUUCCGUGGGAUUGGACUGUGGCCAGGUUGUCCCUUCACUUGAUUGAUGGUAUCAUUUGCUAUACAGAAGCUUUUUAUCUUCAUGACGUCCCAUUGUCAAUUGUCCUUGAUGGAUGUGCUAUCCGAGCCCUGUUCAAAAAGUAGUUUCCUGUUCCUGUAAGUUCCAUUGUAUUCACUACUUUCUCCUCCAUCCAAUUCAGGGUAUCAGGUUUUAUGCUGAGGUUCUGGAUUCAUUUGAAGUUGAGUUUUGUGCAGGGUGAGAGAUAGGGACCUAGUUUCACUUUCCUACAUAUAGCUAUCCAGUUUGACCAGCGCACCAUUUGUUGAACAUGCUGUCUUUUCUACAAUGUGUAUUUUGGACCCCUUUGUCGAAAAUCAGAUGACUGUAAGUGCAUGGACUUAAAUCUGGGCUGUCUAUUUCUUUAUAUUCAUCAGUGUCUCUGUUUUUAUGCUGGUGUCAUGGCUGUUUUUAUUAUUUUAGCUCUGCAGUAUAAUUUGAGAUCGAGGAUGGUGAUACCUCCAUCUCUUCUUUUCUUUUUCAGAAUUGUUUUGGUUAUCCUGGUUUGUUUCUUUCUUUGUUUCCAUGUGAAAUUCAAAUUCAAUUCACUUUCAAUUUUUGUGAAGUAUUGUGUUGGGGUUUUAGUGAGGAUUGUAUUAAAUCUGUAGAUUGCUUUUGGUAGGAUGGCCAUUUUCACAAUAUUCAUUCUACCGAUCUAUGAGAGUGGGCGGGGGGGGUGUCUUUCCAUCUUCUGAUAUCUUCUUCAGUUUCUUUCUUCAGUGUCUUAAGGUUUUUGUUAUACAAGUCUCUCACUGAUUUGAUUAGAAUUAUUAAAAAUAUUUUGUGUUUUUUUGAGGCUAUCCUAUCGUGAAUGGGAUCAGUUCCUUGCUUUCUUUCUCAGUAUGUUUGUUGUUGGUCUAUAGGAAGACUACUGAUUUUGGUGUAUUAGUUUUAUAACCCGUUUCUAUGCUGAGCAUGUUUGUCAGCUCUAGGACUUUUCUGGUGGAGUCUUUAGUGUUUUGUUUUGUUUUGUUUUUUUAAAAUCAUAUCAUCUGCAAAUAAGAAUUCUUUGACUUUUUCCAUUCUGAUUGGUUUCCCCUUUAUUUCCUUCACUUGUCUUACUGCUCUAGCUAAAACUUCAAAAACUAUAUUGAACAGGAGUAGAGAGAGUGAACAUACUUACUUGUCUGUUUCC
Long non-coding RNA from Nannospalax galili (Upper Galilee mountains blind mole rat), 1250 nucleotides. RefSeq lists it as uncharacterized. The transcript has 3 exons. The record is from RefSeq and is a predicted model, not a curated record. Lineage: Eukaryota; Metazoa; Chordata; Mammalia; Rodentia; Spalacidae.